GACGAACGCUGGCGGCGUGCUUAACACAUGCAAGUCGAACGGUAAGGCCCUUCGGGGUACACGAGUGGCGAACGGGUGAGUAACACGUGGGUGAUCUGCCCUGCACUUCGGGAUAAGCCUGGGAAACUGGGUCUAAUACCGGAUAGGACCAUGGACUUCACGGUUUGUGGUGGAAAGCUUUUGCGGUGUGGGAUGGGCCCGCGGCCUAUCAGCUUGUUGGUGGGGUAAUGGCCUACCAAGGCGACGACGGGUAGCCGGCCUGAGAGGGUGUCCGGCCACACUGGGACUGAGAUACGGCCCAGACUCCUACGGGAGGCAGCAGUGGGGAAUAUUGCACAAUGGGCGCAAGUCUGAUGCAGCGACGCCGCGUGAGGGAUGACGGCCUCGGGUUGUAACCUCUUUCAAUAGGGACGAAGCGCAAGUGACGGUACCUAUAGAAGAAGCACCGGCCAACUACGUGCCAGCAGCCGCGGUAAU
Molecule: ribosomal RNA, 477 nt
Filed under: uncultured bacterium
Lineage: Bacteria
Description: bacterial SSU rRNA
Rfam family: Bacterial small subunit ribosomal RNA
Source: RNAcentral